This 468-nucleotide ribosomal RNA is filed under the name uncultured bacterium. Its description in RNAcentral is "partial 16S ribosomal RNA". It matches the Rfam family "Bacterial small subunit ribosomal RNA", at positions 28 to 507 of the family's 1533-position model. The record is from RNAcentral.
GACGAACGCUGGCGGCGUGCUUAACACAUGCAAGUCGAACGGAAAGGCCCUGCGUUUGUGGGGUGCUCGAGUGGCGAACGGGUGAGUAACACGUGAGUAACCUGCCCUUGACUUUGGGAUAACUUCAGGAAACUGGGGCUAAUACCGCAUAGGAGCUCCUGCUGCAUGGGGGGGGUUGGAAAGUUUCGGCGGUUGGGGAUGGAAUCGCGGCUUAUCAGCUUGUUGGGGGGGUUGUGGAGUACCAAGGCUUUGACGGGUAGCCCGCCUGAGAGCGUGACCGGCCACAUGGGGACUGAGAGACGGCCCAGACUCCUACGGUAGGCAGAAGUGGGGAAUAUUGCACAGUGGGCGGAAGCCUGAUGCAGAAACCCCGCGUGCGGGAUGAUGUGCUUCGGGUUGUAAACCGAUUUCGCCGUUGACGAAGCGUGCGUGACGGUAAUGAGUAAAGAAGCACCGGCUAACUACGUG